Molecule: long non-coding RNA, 3171 nt
Organism: Pan troglodytes (chimpanzee)
Lineage: Eukaryota; Metazoa; Chordata; Mammalia; Primates; Hominidae
Exons: 8
Source: RefSeq, a predicted model, not a curated record
CCAGGGGCGGGGGUGGGAUCUGAGCAAUCACUCGCCCUCCCCCUUCCCAGGGGCGGGGAGGGGGUGAUUUAGGGAGGACUCCACGGGGCCCAAAGGUUCGCACCGCCCCGCCGCGGCCCAGCCUGCAGAAGCCCCCCGCUGCCGCGGCGCCCCCGCUCCCCGCCCCGCGAGGCGCGCGCAGCUGCGCCCGGGCCUGUCCUCGCUUCACCCCCACUCUGCCCCUUCGGUAUUUCUCAAUGACCGGCGCUCCGAGGACACUUCCGACGCGGAGGGAGGGGGUGUCAUUAGCGCUCGGUUAUCAGUUCCUUCCGGUCUCCCCGAGCUCAACCCUGCGCGCGGCCGGGCCGCGCCUCGGGCGAUCUGGUGCCUUUAUUAUGAUGUUUAAGUAAGCAGUCGUGUGUGCCAAGUGAGUUUGUAGCCCAGCUGUCUCCCCCAAGCCCCGCUGGCAGGAAUGGAAACCCAAACUCUCUCGUAAUGCAGGGGAUGAUGCAAACUUAGAAACUGACCCGGCGCCCGGGAAUGAGGCCCCCCCGCCCCGGGCGUGCGGCGGCCCAGUAGGGGCAUGAAUGGCUGGAGCCCGAUUGCAUAAUCCGCGCGGUAUAAAUAGCCGGCGGGCGGGCCGCUGACGCGCUCGGUUGUGCCGUUAUCGUGCAAUGCUUCAUCCCCGGUGCCGUUCACUCCCAGGUCGUUUUCCCUUUCAGCUGCAAUGCCGGGAUUUUAAAUAGCAGAGAUGAAAGGCCCCUGCCCCCGCCUCCCUCCUCCCCUGAGUUCAUGUAUUAUGAAUGAAACGGCAGCCUCGCUGCUUCCUGAGGUGCUCCACUUCAGGUACCUAACUGAUCCAGGAGAUAAUGGAAUUCGGAGGCUUGAAUGGAGGAUGGUGAUCCAUGUGGUCAUAGAGAAAAGGCGGUGUAACAUCUUGGGAGUUGGAGUGCAGUGGUGCUGUGUCUGGAGUUUGUUCCUGCCGUUGGGUUUGUGGUCUUGCUGACUUCAAGAAUGAAGCCACGGACCUUCACGCCAUCAUAAUGUGAAGAAGCCGAAGCAGCCUGUGAAGAGGCGCUAGUGGAAAGGAACUCAGGUGCCCCUGCCCUCAGUCCCAGCUGAACUCUCAGCUGACAGCCAUCACCAACUUGCCAGCCACAGGAGUGAGCCAACUUGAGAGUGGAUCUUUCAGUCCCAGUGGAGCCAUCUCAGCUGACAUACCAUGAUACACACACAGGCACAUUGGAAACGCAGUAGAAAAUGGCUGCCAAUUUAAAACCAGAAGUUAAGAAGAGCAAACUCGAAUGUACAGCAAGAGAGCUUCAGGCUGGACUGGCUUCCAGCAGAAGUGGGACUGGAAACCUCGGAUUCUAUUGUCUCUUCUCUGUGAAGUGGGAAAACAUAGUGAACCCAGAGCACAUGGCUUUCCACCAGGACUGGUUGGUUACUGCUGCCCUAUUCUUUGAUGGAGAUAAACAAACAAACAAACAAACAAACAAACCUGAUUGCAAUGGUGCUUUGGAACCCCUAGAUCCUGAAGUCCUUUGGGAGAGAUCUGAGAGUGGGAGCAGGGCCUUCUGCAGCCAAGUUAGCCUCCCAGGCUGGCUAAUAGCUGUAAUGUAUAUUAGUUCUCUUAUCUCCUGCACUGUUCCCAUCAUCUUCCAUGUAGAAAAUGAAACAUGGCUUCUUAUAAGUCAAUGGCAACCAGAUGCUUGAGAAUAAAGCAAGCAAGGGAACAGAGAAGGAAAUCAGGGAGAACCUUGGCAUUUACCCAGAGAAACAUCCUAAUGUGUACCGUGGCAGGGCGUGGUAAAGAACCUAGAAACAUGACAGUCAGUAGAAGGUGUGUUGGCCCCCGGAAAGCCAAGUAUUUGUCUGAUGAAGCAUGGAGUGGAUUCUGGCUUAUAUCUUUCAUCACUUGGCUGGGUCCUUCGUCAGAUGAAAAGGUAGCAGCUGAGAGCAUUAGCAGAAACAAUUGACGGGCUAAGCUCUCUGUGAGAGCAGCAGACUCAAUCGAGGAGGGCUGGGAGCCCAGGCGUGGGCUGUCAUGAGAAGUCCACUUGCAGCAGUGGCAGUGAUCCUCAUAAACACAGGCCCACCGUGCUCAGAGCCCCAUUUUCCCACUGACAUUGGCCAAGAUGCAUCCUGGCUGUGUGCAGACCCCAGAGAGAACUGCCCGAUAGUGGCAACACUGGCACAGUGGCCAGCCAAGGAGGGAAAAGCAAAGCAAAGAGGACUGAAGAUAUGAAGACACAUAUCUCUACUGAGAAGAGCUCAUCAUAGAACAAGGACAAAUGGCCAGCAAGAUGCCAUGCCUGAAAAUAUUCAAACAUCAAGUCCAGCUUCCUGGUCUCACCUAUGUCAUCGGAAGUGUGUAGAUUCUAGGCUGGAGAGCUACUUUUGUUCAAUAGGUGGAAACAAAAAUUCAUUAAGCAUCCUGAAAUUAUUGCUGAAUUCAGGGAUGAGGGCAGCUUCGAUUUCUUCUCUGAACUUGGAAUUGUUUGCUGGAUUUUGCAGGCUUGACUCCUUGACUUCAGCAGUGCAGUUGUAGAAACAAGCCAGCAGCAGCAGCCACACCUAAGCUGGGUUGCGCCUUCCUGGCAGGUGUCCCUGCCAAGAUGGGAAAACCUGAGAUGCUCCCCAGUGGGUGCAAAUAUGUGGGAGAAAAUUGAAUAAAAUUUCCCCUGGGGUGCCCCCCAGGAAGCAUGCUUCCUCCUCCACUUGGUUUGGCUCUCAUUUUCAGUUCCUCUGUGUUCAGGCAAAACCUUUAUGUUGUUAAAAAUGAAAUUAGAACCGAAAGGAAGCAGGGAGCAGUUGUGGCCAAAGAUGACACUGAGAAAAGGUGGAAAUUGGUGGCAGCAUCAGGCUUUCCCUGCUGGAGUCUGCACCCCUGAAAUAAGCAGGCAGAAAGUUGGAGGAAAGCCGAGCUGCAGGCCUCUCGGUCACUGGGUCCCACAAUGGGGAUACCCGGUGCCGCGCUGAGCCCAGAGCAGAUCCAGACUCUCCUCCCGACUCCCCCACCCCUUCCUCUCCUUGAGGGGGCCUCACAGCCCCCCCACCCCCAGCACUUACCCAUGCAAUGCACAGGCCCUUCCCCAGCUCUGGAGGGAUUUAUGCCUUUUGGAGGAGCAGGUUUUAAAGCCAAAAGGGCUUUUUGGUGAUAUGCAAGAGCCCAAAGGAUGGCACCACAGC